Molecule: non-coding RNA, 27 nt
Filed under: Homo sapiens (human)
Lineage: Eukaryota; Metazoa; Chordata; Mammalia; Primates; Hominidae
Source: RNAcentral
UAAUCGAUUCUGGUGUGAGUUCUGGUC